RNAcentral lists this ribosomal RNA (326 nucleotides) under uncultured eukaryote. RNAcentral describes it as "partial 18S ribosomal RNA". It matches the Rfam family "Eukaryotic small subunit ribosomal RNA", at positions 1470 to 1796 of the family's 1831-position model. The record is from RNAcentral.
CCCUUAGAUGUCCUGGGCCGCACGCGCGCUACACUGAACGGAUCAGCGCGUUUUCCCUUCCCGAGAGGGACGGGUAACCUGCUGAACCCCGUUCGAGGUAGGGAUCGGGGCUUGCAAUUAUUCCCCGUGAACCAGGAAUGCCCAGUAAGUGCAAGUCAUAAGCUUGCGUUGAUUACGUCCCUGCCCUUUGUACACACCGCCCGUCGCUACUACCGAUUGAACGUUUUAGUGAGGUACUCGGACUGAGCCUCAGAAGAUUCACGUCUUUUGUGCUGCUCGGGAAGAUUCCCAAACUUGAGCGUUUAGAGGAAGUAAAAGUCGUANCA